GACGAACGCUGGCGGCGUGCUUAACACAUGCAAGUCGAACGGAAAGGCCCUGCUUGCAGGGUACUCGAGUGGCGAACGGGUGAGUAACACGUGGGUGAUCUGCCCUGCACUUCGGGAUAAGCCUGGGAAACUGGGUCUAAUACCGGAUAGGAGCCAUUUUUAGUGUGAUGGUUGGAAAGUCUUUUUCGGUGUAGGAUGAGCUCGCGGCCUAUCAGCUUGUUGGUGGGGUAAUGGCCUACCAAGGCGGCGACGGGUAGCCGGCCCGAGAGGGUGGACGGCCACAUUGGGACUGAGAUACGGCCCAGACUCCUACGGGAGGCAGCAGUGGGGAAUAUUGCACAAUGGGCGCAAGCCUGAUGCAGCGACGCCGCGUGGGGGAUGACGGCCUUCGGGUUGUAAACUCCUUUCGCUAGGGACGAAGCUUUUUGUGACGGUACCUAGAUAAGAAGCACCGGCUAACUACGUG
Molecule: ribosomal RNA, 466 nt
Filed under: uncultured bacterium
Lineage: Bacteria
Description: partial 16S ribosomal RNA
Rfam family: Bacterial small subunit ribosomal RNA
Source: RNAcentral